RNAcentral lists this ribosomal RNA (465 nucleotides) under Vreelandella stevensii. RNAcentral describes it as "partial 16S ribosomal RNA". It matches the Rfam family "Bacterial small subunit ribosomal RNA", at positions 338 to 795 of the family's 1533-position model. The record is from RNAcentral. Lineage: Bacteria; Pseudomonadati; Pseudomonadota; Gammaproteobacteria; Oceanospirillales; Halomonadaceae.
CCUACGGGGGGCUGCAGUGGGGAAUAUUGGACAAUGGGCGAAAGCCUGAUCCAGCCAUGCCGCGUGUGUGAAGAAGGCCUUCGGGUUGUAAAGCACUUUCAGUGGGGAAGAAAGCCUUGGGGCUAAUACCCUCGAGGAAGGACAUCACCCACAGAAGAAGCACCGGCUAACUCCGUGCCAGCAGCCGCGGUAAUACGGAGGGUGCGGGCGUUAAUCGGAAUUACUGGGCGUAAAGCGCGCGUAGGCGGUCUGAUAAGCCGGUUGUGAAAGCCCCGGGCUCAACCUGGGAACGGCAUCCGGAACUGUCAGGCUAGAGUGUAGGAGAGGAAGGUAGAAUUCCCGGUGUAGCGGUGAAAUGCGUAGAGAUCGGGAGGAAUACCAGUGGCGAAGGCGGCCUUCUGGACUGAUACUGACGCUGAGGUGCGAAAGCGUGGGUAGCAAACAGGAUUAGAUACCCCUGUAGUC